GAGAUGUGAAUCGCACCAGAACCAUGUGUGAUGUAACAGAACCAUACAUUCCACAGAUUCCCUUUCCAAAAAGUGAGUUCUAGUUGGCCCUGACCUGCUAAUACCUGAUUUGAAAACCAAGAGAAGAAAUGAACUCAUGAUGGAAGAGAAAAGAGGCCCUAGGCAGGCCUACACUGUCUUGCUGGGAAAGAGAAACCCACAUCAGCCACCUCGGCAUGUGAGCUGCUGAGACAGCUCUUCAGACCGCAUCCAGAUCACAGGUGUCCUGCCCGUGGAGCACCUGAUUGGGGUGUUUGGAGUCUAACACCUGCCCUGCAUGGCCUAUGUCACCCUCCAAAAGGAUUUCUUUUGCUCGCUAAUUGCCAGCAGUGAAAAUCUACGGAGGCAAAUUGAUGAGGAAGAAAAGGUUUUGAAACCAAAGUGGCUAAAAGGAUUCCAGCCAUUGUGAG
Cygnus olor (mute swan) is the source of this 449-nucleotide long non-coding RNA. RefSeq lists it as uncharacterized. Lineage: Eukaryota; Metazoa; Chordata; Aves; Anseriformes; Anatidae. The record is from RefSeq and is a predicted model, not a curated record. The transcript is spliced from 4 exons.